Orcinus orca (killer whale) is the source of this 2345-nucleotide long non-coding RNA. RefSeq lists it as uncharacterized. NCBI's taxonomy places the organism in Eukaryota, Metazoa, Chordata, Mammalia, Artiodactyla, Delphinidae. The transcript is spliced from 3 exons. The record is from RefSeq and is a predicted model, not a curated record.
AUUUAGGAACCUGUCUUUUCUCAUAACAGCUGAUGACAUCUCUGGUGUGUGGGAACAGAAGGGAGAAUCCAUCUGUUGGCAGGAAGAGAAAAAAGAAUGUACACAAGCUACAGUGGAGGGUGACUAUGGAAUUGGGAAGGAGUGAAAAAGGAAGUGACCUUUCUACUGGAUCAAAGGAAAAACCUGGAGGGUUGCCUACACCAUCCAUGGACACAGGAACAAUAGCUUCAGACGGACUCUUCAAGCAGCUCUCACAAUUUCAUAAGGUCAGAUCCCCAUAAUAAGAAUACCUAUCCUUUGUUAGUUAGCACUCCUAGUGUUUCUACUUCUCUGAUCAAACGAUGAUACAAAAUUUGGUACUAGAAAUGGUGCCAGAAGAACUGAAUCUGAAACUGAUCAUUUCUUCCAAUUAGUUCUGCAUUUUCUAGAAUUGAUUCUCUGCCUUGUUUAGAUUUAAAGACAUCACUGGCCCUAUUUCCAAUGGUAAAGUGGCCAAAGCAUGCAGUGGCAAAGCAUUUACUUAUUACCUGCAACCAAGUGCAUUUGGAAGGCAAAACUUUAGUGAGCAAGGAUGUGUUGGCAAAAUACAAAAAUCUCUGUGACUUACAAGUCACAAAGAUAUGUUUCUGGCUCAUAAUACUGGGGACCCUUUCAGAGGGGCUGCAGCUGCACUCCAGCUGUCUUUUCAUCUUGUACGGCAGGCAGAAGGAGCCGUCCUGAUCUGGGGAAUGCCCCUCUCAUGGCAGAAGGGAUGAGAAAGAGUGCUGGUGGGAGCCCAUUCCCCUCAUGGUCUAGGCUCAAACAUACCUUUGAUCACCUGAAUUGAUAUUUUAUUAGGCAAAUAUGUCACAGCCAAACCUGAAGUCUAUGGGGCAGGAAUGCAUUAUCCUCUUUCAAAGAAUGGGGAAUAAAUAGUGGCCAACAGCAACAACCAUAGUCAUGUAUUAAAUAACUCUAAAUUGAGGUUGAUUAUUAUUUAUUAGGGGCCUGGAAGAUCAAACGCCAAAUUAUCUUAAAGCAUAGAAUAAAAAUACAGUGAGCUGAAAACUAGAGUGAGAGUAGGAAAUUUUUAAAAAUGGUAGUUCCAGAAGGAAAACAACAACAACAAUUAUGGAAGAGAGGUAUUACUGAAAUGAAUAUGAAAAUAAAAUUUCCUUGAAAUAAAAAAAAAGUUCUAAUUUUGCACCAGGUGAAACUUAUGGAAAAAAGACACACUUAGGAAAAUUCUGAUAAAAUUUCUGACCCUAAGAACUGAUUUAAAAAAACUAACAAUUUUCCAAGCAGAGAUAAUAAAAUAACCCCCCCCCAACAAAAAAAAAAUCAGGCCAUCAUCGCUAACAGAGAAGGCAAAGUAUAAAGGGCUGCUGUCUGAGUCCUGUACCAGCCAAGACCUCAUUCAUUGGUGAAAAUGAGAGAUAAUUGAGGUUAUGCAGGAAUUCCAAAAGUCUCAUUUAUAUCAAUAAAAAUAUGAAUCAGAAAAGAAACUUGAAAAUUGUAAUAAAGAGGAAAAUGUAAUUAGAAAAAUUGUUACCUAGGCUAUAUAACUAGUUACCUAGCUAACUAGCUAGGUGUAGUAAUAUAUAGCAAUAUGCAUGGUACAUUGAGCUGGUAGGUAUCUGUACAAUCAGACUUUCAGUUUAUAGAUGACUCCUCUGAAAGUUUGGUGUCCCAACUAAUUGGGCUGGUUUCUUUGCCAUAUAGAUUGUUACAUUUUUAAUAUCUCCCUUUCAAUAUAAUUCCUGGAAGUUUUUAAGAAGGACUUUUGAAACAGAAAGGACACACUGGCCUUGGUUCCUCUGUGGAGAUUAAGUGUAGCUUCGUGGGAAAAAAUAAUAUCUAUCUAAAUUUCAAUAAAUAGUAUAUUCAUAAGUGUCUAAUUAUAAGAAUAGUAAAUAAUCUUGACUGGAAAAUGUCAUUAGAAUUCCUAAUUAACAAGACAAACAUGAAAGGAACAGUAACCUGAUUAAUUGAGCAAAAAAUGGGGGGAAAAAAGAGAAAAUUAACAAUAUAUAAUGAAGGAAAAAAUAAACUGGAAGGAAUGACAUCAAGUUACCAGUUUUUAAGGUACAUACUAAUGAUAAUUUAAAAAUCUUGAGUUUAAGAAAAAAAUUUAAUCUGAAAUAAAAACUAUCUAGAAAGCAAGAAAAAGAACAUUAUGGAAGACUAUCUAAUAUCUAUGUAAUAUUCCCCUCUUUUCUUAGAGGGAAAUGAAGAGCCUUAAGUGCCUUUGAUAUUAAAGGAGAGAAGGAAUUAAGUAUACAUUAAAAAAAUAGAAAAUAAAAAUGCAGGAUAUAGGAAUUAGUAGAGAUAAAUGUAAAUUGAUGAAAUAGAAAAAAUAAAAAACA